GGUUAAGCGACUACGCGUACACGGUGGAUGCCCUGGCAGUCAGAGGCGAUGAAGGACGUGCUAAUCUGCGAUAAGCGUCGGUAAGGUGAUAUGAACCGUUAUAACCGGCGAUUUCCGAAUGGGGAAACCCAGUGUGUUUCGACACACUAUCAUUAACUGAAUCCAUAGGUUAAUGAGGCGAACCGGGGGAACUGAAACAUCUAAGUACCCCGAGGAAAAGAAAUCAACCGAGAUUCCCCCAGUAGCGGCGAGCGAACGGGGAGCAGCCCAGAGCCUGAAUCAGUGUGUGUGUUAGUGGAAGCGUCUGGAAAGGCGCGCGAUACAGGGUGACAGCCCCGUACACAAAAAUGCACAUGCUGUGAGCUCGAUGAGUAGGGCGGGACACGUGGUAUCCUGUCUGAAUAUGGGGGGACCAUCCUCCAAGGCUAAAUACUCCUGACUGACCGAUAGUGAACCAGUACCGUGAGGGAAAGGCGAAAAGAACCCCGGCGAGGGGAGUGAAAAAGAACCUGAAACCGUGUACGUACAAGCAGUGGGAGCACGCUUAGGCGUGUGACUGCGUACCUUUUGUAUAAUGGGUCAGCGACUUAUAUUCUGUAGCAAGGUUAACCGAAUAGGGGAGCCGAAGGGAAACCGAGUCUUAACUGGGCGUUAAGUUGCAGGGUAUAGACCCGAAACCCGGUGAUCUAGCCAUGGGCAGGUUGAAGGUUGGGUAACACUAACUGGAGGACCGAACCGACUAAUGUUGAAAAAUUAGCGGAUGACUUGUGGCUGGGGGUGAAAGGCCAAUCAAACCGGGAGAUAGCUGGUUCUCCCCGAAAGCUAUUUAGGUAGCGCCUCGUGAAUUCAUCUCCGGGGGUAGAGCACUGUUUCGGCAAGGGGGUCAUCCCGACUUACCAACCCGAUGCAAACUGCGAAUACCGGAGAAUGUUAUCACGGGAGGCACACGGCGGGUGCUAACGUCCGUCGUGAAGAGGGAAACAACCCAGACCGCCAGCUAAGGUCCCAAAGUCAUGGUUAAGUGGGAAACGAUGUGGGAAGGCCCAGACAGCCAGGAUGUUGGCUUAGAAGCAGCCAUCAUUUAAAGAAAGCGUAAUAGCUCACUGGUCGAGUCGGCCUGCGCGGAAGAUGUAACGGGGCUAAACCAUGCACCGAAGCUGCGGCAGCGACGCUGAUGCGUUGUUGGGUAGGGGAGCGUUCUGUAAGCCUGCGAAGGUGUGCUGUGAGGCAUGCUGGAGGUAUCAGAAGUGCGAAUGCUGACAUAAGUAACGAUAAAGCGGGUGAAAAGCCCGCUCGCCGGAAGACCAAGGGUUCCUGUCCAACGUUAAUCGGGGCAGGGUGAGUCGACCCCUAAGGCGAGGCCGAAAGGCGUAGUCGAUGGGAAACAGGUUAAUAUUCCUGUACUUGGUGUUACUGCGAAGGGGGGACGGAGAAGGCUAUGUUGGCCGGGCGACGGUUGUCCCGGUUUAAGCGUGUAGGCUGGUUUUCCAGGCAAAUCCGGAAAAUCAAGGCUGAGGCGUGAUGACGAGGCACUACGGUGCUGAAGCAACAAAUGCCCUGCUUCCAGGAAAAGCCUCUAAGCAUCAGGUAACAUCAAAUCGUACCCCAAACCGACACAGGUGGUCAGGUAGAGAAUACCAAGGCGCUUGAGAGAACUCGGGUGAAGGAACUAGGCAAAAUGGUGCCGUAACUUCGGGAGAAGGCACGCUGAUAUGUAGGUGAAGUCCCUUGCGGAUGGAGCUGAAAUCAGUCGAAGAUACCAGCUGGCUGCAACUGUUUAUUAAAAACACAGCACUGUGCAAACACGAAAGUGGACGUAUACGGUGUGACGCCUGCCCGGUGCCGGAAGGUUAAUUGAUGGGGUCAGCGCAAGCGAAGCUCUUGAUCGAAGCCCCGGUAAACGGCGGCCGUAACUAUAACGGUCCUAAGGUAGCGAAAUUCCUUGUCGGGUAAGUUCCGACCUGCACGAAUGGCGUAAUGAUGGCCAGGCUGUCUCCACCCGAGACUCAGUGAAAUUGAACUCGCUGUGAAGAUGCAGUGUACCCGCGGCAAGACGGAAAGACCCCGUGAACCUUUACUAUAGCUUGACACUGAACAUUGAGCCUUGAUGUGUAGGAUAGGUGGGAGGCUUGGAAGUGUGGACGCCAGUCUGCAUGGAGCCGACCUUGAAAUACCACCCUUUAAUGUUUGAUGUUCUAACGUUGACCCGUAAUCCGGGUUGCGGACAGUGUCUGGUGGGUAGUUUGACUGGGGCGGUCUCCUCCUAAAGAGUAACGGAGGAGCACGAAGGUUGGCUAAUCCUGGUCGGACAUCAGGAGGUUAGUGCAAUGGCAUAAGCCAGCUUGACUGCGAGCGUGACGGCGCGAGCAGGUGCGAAAGCAGGUCAUAGUGAUCCGGUGGUUCUGAAUGGAAGGGCCAUCGCUCAACGGAUAAAAGGUACUCCGGGGAUAACAGGCUGAUACCGCCCAAGAGUUCAUAUCGACGGCGGUGUUUGGCACCUCGAUGUCGGCUCAUCACAUCCUGGGGCUGAAGUAGGUCCCAAGGGUAUGGCUGUUCGCCAUUUAAAGUGGUACGCGAGCUGGGUUUAGAACGUCGUGAGACAGUUCGGUCCCUAUCUGCCGUGGGCGCUGGAGAACUGAGGGGGGCUGCUCCUAGUACGAGAGGACCGGAGUGGACGCAUCACUGGUGUUCGGGUUGUCAUGCCAAUGGCACUGCCCGGUAGCUAAAUGCGGAAGAGAUAAGUGCUGAAAGCAUCUAAGCACGAAACUUGCCCCGAGAUGAGUUCUCCCUGACCCUUUAAGGGUCCUGAAGGAACGUUGAAGACGACGACGUUGAUAGGCCGGGUGUGUAAGCGCAGCGAUGCGUUGAGCUAACCGGUACUAAUGAACCGUGAGGCUUAACCUU
RNAcentral lists this ribosomal RNA (2904 nucleotides) under Escherichia coli. RNAcentral's name for it is "23S ribosomal RNA". It matches the Rfam family "Bacterial large subunit ribosomal RNA". The record is from RNAcentral. Lineage: Bacteria; Pseudomonadati; Pseudomonadota; Gammaproteobacteria; Enterobacterales; Enterobacteriaceae.